UAGGGAAUCUUCCACAAUGGACGCAAGUCUGAUGGAGCAACGCCGCGUGAGUGAAGAAGGUCUUCGGAUCGUAAAACUCUGUUGUUAGAGAAGAACACGAGUGAGAGUAACUGUUCAUACGUUGACGGUAUUUAACCAGAAAGUCACGGCUAACUACGUACCAG
RNAcentral lists this ribosomal RNA (164 nucleotides) under uncultured bacterium. RNAcentral describes it as "partial 16S rRNA". It matches the Rfam family "Bacterial small subunit ribosomal RNA", at positions 355 to 511 of the family's 1533-position model. The record is from RNAcentral.